This 386-nucleotide long non-coding RNA is filed under the name Physcomitrium patens. Its description in RNAcentral is "long non-coding RNA (PPAT_LNC003592)". Lineage: Eukaryota; Viridiplantae; Streptophyta; Bryopsida; Funariales; Funariaceae. The record is from RNAcentral.
AAAAGUAGGUUAAUUGUGUAAUAUCUUCUAGAGAAGCUUCUUAGAAGCUUCAUAGACGCUGCUUUGACUUUAUAGGAGUCUAUAGUUGACUUUUAGGUUAGAAACUUGGUCAACAAGUUAGCCAUGUGCCACGCAUGUUGGAAGCUUAAAGAACAAGCUAACUACGUGGUCCAUCCAUAGAAAACUUGCCUUGCAAGCAAAGGCAUGUGGCCUAGAAAAUCAACAUAUAUUGGAGGUCUUAUAGAACAUCGCCACGUGGCUUCUAGUUAGAUAGUAUAUAUAGAGGCAAGAGUGAAGCCCUCUUCACUCUUGUCAACUCCUUUCUUGCUUCUAGUCUAGUUUCAAGGGUCUCUAGUUUUCUUGUAUUUUGGCAAUAGCCAUUCCAG